Molecule: long non-coding RNA, 331 nt
Filed under: Aquilegia coerulea
Lineage: Eukaryota; Viridiplantae; Streptophyta; Magnoliopsida; Ranunculales; Ranunculaceae
Description: long non-coding RNA (ACOE_LNC000738)
Source: RNAcentral
AGAUUGGUUUGUGUUUUCUGCUAAUUGCAUAGGAUUCUGCACUCGUUAUCUUUGUUUUCUGCUUAUUAACGGAUUAAUUGAAUGUGAAUUUCAGGUUCCAAAUGGGAUAGGAGCCUUGCUGGGGAUUGUACAAUUACUGUUGUAUUCUUAUUACAGCAGAUCUUUAAGAGAAGAUAGUAGCGAGCCUCUGAUGUCGUCAUAUGCAUGACAGUACAAAACCCCGUAAGAAUCAAGUUUUAAAGUGCAUUCUUACAUAUGUAUUGUAAAUUUGUUAUUCUUUUAUAGCACUCUGUGAGGUAUUUUUUACAAGAAAUGUGGUCUUCAAAUGUAG